UGACACUGCAUAGAUGGACUCUUGUCAUUUCUUGCGCCGCAUGGUCUCCUUCCUUUCUCUCGCCCAUGACUCUUUCAGGCAGCCCCCCCUUCGGACCCUGAAUAACUGGACCCUCGGGAUGGAUCAAUUGGCGCCUGAACAGUGACCCGAAGUAUGGUCAGCUGUCGGACGGCGGACAGACAGCCCGGGACAAAGAGGAUCCUGUGGACAGCUAAACUCAUGCUCUCUUCAGGUGGAGGCAUAGGAUAACAAAAUGUGAGGUCUUGGGAAGCAGUUGGCUGGGCCAUGUGGAAGAAGCAUGUAUAGACACUAUGAAAUAGACACUAUGGAUCAUAGACACUAUGAAAACAAUUGCCUGUUCCUGUGAAGAUAUUUUGUCAUCCCUAACACAAAGGAAAUCAAAUAAUGUAACAGCAACUUUCCAUAUUCUGAAAUACAAAUUGACCAGUGAGGACAGCCAUGAUCACAUGGAGACCCCUGGUUAAUCAGAAGCCCUGUUUGUGCUCUUCCCCCAUUUCUCCCCUCGAAAAGGAGACCCAGUGAACCAGCCUUUCCAUGUUUUAGAAGACGGGAAGAAUCACUUUCAGGAGGAUGGUGUGGAAGGACGGGGCAAGAGAUGCUGAAGCUAUAUCAUGCUCAACAAAUACUCCUGCCUGGGUCUGAGGCCCAGAUAAGAUGAAAUUAUGCCAGAAAGGGGUGUCCUGAGUGCUAGUGUCAUCCACAGAGCUGCUGGGGACCUUGCAGUCAACAUGAAUUCUCUGGACAGCCUUGAGGUCAUCUAUCCUUAUGCGAUUCAUCCCUGGAUAGAACAUCCACUAUGUCUCUGAACAUGGAUUUCUCCUCAGAUCCACCAUCCAAGUGACCCAAGAUGACCAGGGCCAGUUUGGGCCUACAACAUCUGGAUACAGGCCAUUCAGGGACUGGAAACUCAUGAGCAAGCAAAUUUCCCACAUCCCGAGGACACAGUUCUUGUCUCUGGACUACACCAAGGGGAGUCCUAGAUCUUCAUGAAAGAUACAAAGAAAAGAUUGGACAGUGCGUUUUAUAAGAGACCCAUUUGGUUUACCCAGUCACAUGUUCUCCUCUUUGUAUUUCACUAAUUAAUGAACACAAUUUGAUAUCAGGGAUUAAUAGGUUUAGGUUCAAAACCCACCCAGAACCAUAUUAUCUGCACAUAAUGCACCAUAUAUACAUGGAGGUCUGUGUCAGUUCUUGCUAGGUAUUCCAUUCUCUAGUGAAAAGCAACACCCCUCAUCCAAUCUAUCCUCUCCCCUCUCUUACUUUCUCUACACAGAAACACACACAUGCUAAUACACACACACACACACACACACACACACACACACACACACACACACACACAAUGUUAGGUGAGCCUAGUAUCAUCAUGCCAAGACAUGGUGGCAUGAGGACAGACAAGGUGCUGAAGAAGGAGCCGAGAGUGAGUAAGGGCUAUGUCUUAAUCCUGCA
RNAcentral lists this long non-coding RNA (1470 nucleotides) under Cricetulus griseus (Chinese hamster). Its description in RNAcentral is "lncRNA (ENSCGRG00015035841.1)". The record is from RNAcentral. Lineage: Eukaryota; Metazoa; Chordata; Mammalia; Rodentia; Cricetidae.